This is a long non-coding RNA of Bombus pascuorum, 2282 nucleotides long. RefSeq lists it as uncharacterized. Lineage: Eukaryota; Metazoa; Arthropoda; Insecta; Hymenoptera; Apidae. The transcript has 2 exons. The record is from RefSeq and is a predicted model, not a curated record.
AUACACGUUACAAAAUAUUUACUGCAGAUGUGUUACUAGCAUACGACGUUCAACUACUUUUCUGAUCUCUGUGAGAUACAAAUAAACGAAUAAUUUUAUUAACAUCUUAAUUAUCGAUCAACAACCUGCUGAAGUUCAAAACUGCUUGUCUGUAAAAAAUAGAAAACGAGACUUACCGUAUUAUUGUUCUUCUAUCAUAACAUCUUCAAUCGCAUUAUUCCUAUUUCAUGAAAUACACGUUAUUUUCAAGAAACUGAUACAUAGCUCGAUCGAUCGUAUUGAACGAUAAAUACAUAAAAAUUACCGGUACUUUCGUAUCGUGGGAUGCGCGAGACGCGUGAUGGGAUGCGAGCGAUUCGCGAAAUUUUAUCGUUGGACGAUUCACCUGGAAAGAGCGGAGGCGAAUAAUAAAAAAAAAAAGGGUAUUCGAUCGCGUUGCUUGAAUUCCAUUUUUUAGGGCCCCCAUCUACUACCCUUUGGCCCUUUGGUGCAACUCUACAAGGGUCGCGUUAAUUGUCGAGCUGACACGCGCACGUAAGCCCACCUAUCGAAAACCAUGUCUCAUAAUAUAUCAGCGAUGACAUCGAGGCUGUCGUUCGAUCCCUUCCCAUCAAUUUGCGGCAGUGCCAUGUUCCCAGCAUAGACAUAUCCUCAUUUAUCCCAAUGUCCUACACGUCGCCAGCCAAUUUGCUAAUCGAGCCAAUCAUCCAAUCGUAUUAACCUUGCCGGCCAUUCAGAGACCCCGGUCUUCUUUUUAUUGGUUGGUUCCUGCGACAGGUUUCACAUUUGCAAACACACCAGCCUCCAAGGUGUUAAACGGUCUGGUCGUAUCGGGACACGUCGUUUACCUUUAUCGAUCGAUCUACAAGAGCCAUUAACGCCUCAAAAGGAUACUCGUUGCCGUGUAAAGGCGAAUUUAGACUUUACACUUUGGACAUGCAUCGUGAACGAUUUAUUCACGCGCGAAAGCUAUAAAGAUUGUUUCCAUCUGCGGUUCAUCCAGUCCAGGAACGACCAGUCAAAGAUAGAGUCAAUCUCUGCUUUCGAGUAGGAUUAUGGUCAGAGAAGCAAUAAUCGACCUGUCGAAUGAAACUAAGCUAUCGUAUCAAGAUCUUCUUAAAUCAAUCCAUAGUAUCGGAAAAGAAGAAUGGAACAGGUUAUGGAGUUCGAUCAGGAGAAUCCAACUUUGCGUCAUAGUUCAAAACUUUUAUCAUCCAAUACCUUUCGUCGAUUCUGUAUUUCACCGAAAAACUCGCUUAAUUACAGAAUCUAUAAUUUUACGAUUCAACGAUAAUUCUAUGGUUUUACAAUGUUUCUACUACUUUGUUCGCAACAUUGCGACAAACUACGAUUUGCUUGGUCCUCGAUUGGAUUAAACAGCACGACGGGGGAGACUUUAUUCAAAGGAAUUUCGAACGAGCUCGCAGACUACAAGAUAAAUGGCUCGCUUUAAUAACGAGAACGAUGGACGACGUACGAAGAUCGUACGAUGUGGGAUCACGUAUCGACGAAAACAUAAAGCAUCACUGGGGAUUCCUGGCACGCUCGGUUUAAGUCAGAACCGUAAUCCGAACGCCCCUUUCUUCCUUUAUUCCAUGAACUCCGCCCCGUGAAAUUUCGUCGAUAAAGACGAAACACACGGCAGAAGCAGCGUGGCAGACAGAUUGGCUGACUUUACGCGAUCGCUCGUUAACUCGAAGUAAUCGAAAAUUCUUUCAUCCGGAAUGGGAGAAAAAAAAACGCGUCUCGACGUAUGGAGGUAUUCUUUGGAGUCAGGUAUUUUGCCCUUUCUCCUGUAUCGAACCAUCGUAAAUCAUCCGUCGAUGUUUCCAAACCGCAGCUCGUUCUUUGACUAAGCAACUUUGAAGAGAGCCUGUAUGUACCGAUAUAUCGAUCUUCGUCUUUUUCAUCUUCAUGAAUGACACCAGUGUGCUCGUUGGUAUUUGCCAGACUAUCCACGCUAUUGCCUAGGUUUCGUAUUUUCUCGUAAUGCUUUCCUCCUUUUACGUGUAAUUCUUCGUAACUCGUUCCUACUCUCUAUGACAUCUACGUUUUAGAUCUCGUCUUUCAAGGGAAAUUACUUAAUUAAUGUGUCGUGUAUCCGCGUACUUCGAUCGGAAGCUUCGCAGGAACCGGAACGUAUCGAACAAAAGUUAAAGAAGCUGGAACCUUUCUUUUGGAAUUUUCUUUCUACAGGAAAAUAGUAAGUACCGCUUGUAACUACCAAUUCGUCACAAAUCUGUACACUUUGUUCAAAUUCAAAUAAAACUGUUAUAACAAAU